GACAUGGUCAUGUAAUGGUUAGCACGUUCGCCUCACACCUCCAGGAUUAAGGGUUCGAUUCCCACCUAUGUGG
This is a non-coding RNA of Ameiurus melas (black bullhead), 73 nucleotides long. NCBI's taxonomy places the organism in Eukaryota, Metazoa, Chordata, Actinopteri, Siluriformes, Ictaluridae. The record is from the annotation of a GenBank genome assembly.